RNAcentral lists this ribosomal RNA (252 nucleotides) under uncultured bacterium. RNAcentral describes it as "partial 16S ribosomal RNA". It matches the Rfam family "Bacterial small subunit ribosomal RNA", at positions 524 to 776 of the family's 1533-position model. The record is from RNAcentral.
UACGGAGGAUGCGAGUGUUAUCCGGAUUUAUUGGGUUUAAAGGGUGCGUAGGCGGAUUUUUAAGUCAGCGGUAAAAUGUCCGGGCUCAACCCGGGCCGGCCGUUGAAACUGGGGACCUUGAGUGGGCGAGAAGUAUGCGGAAUGCGUGGUGUAGCGGUGAAAUGCAUAGAUAUCACGCAGAACUCCGAUUGCGAAGGCAGCAUACCGGCGCCCGACUGACGCUGAGGCACGAAAGCGUGGGGAUCGAACAGG